AGAAUAUAAGAACUUGUCUCUUAACUUUUAACUAAAAAAAUUAAGAACCGGCUCUUAAAACUCUUAUUUAAGAACCGGUUCUUAGCUUUUUUAGUUAAAAGUUAAGAGAGGGGUUCUUAUAUUCC
MicroRNA precursor from Brassica oleracea var. oleracea, 125 nucleotides. It matches the Rfam family "MIR9563 microRNA precursor family". NCBI's taxonomy places the organism in Eukaryota, Viridiplantae, Streptophyta, Magnoliopsida, Brassicales, Brassicaceae. The record is from Rfam.